GCACUGUUAGUCGAAAUGUUCGUCAUUAAACGGGCUCCACAAAAGUGCAACGUAAACUGAAAACCUGAAUUGGAAGUAGCUUCAUUUCCGUAUAUAAGCUGUUUCUUGUACAAGAACACUUAUCUUUGACUCAUAAAUAAGGCUUAAAAAUCCAAGGGAUAUUUUCUUAUUAUUUUGGUCUAAUUUAGGAAUUAUCUUUUUAAAAAUGGCUGCUAUGUUUCAAAAAUAAAAGCAACUCUUUCGUUAUGUAGUUCAAGGCUAGUGUAAAGAAGCUUUUGCGGCUUCAAGUCUUAUCUCUAUGGGUGCGAUUUUUCACGGUUAAGUAGUUCAGUGGACGGAAAAUGCAGCUGAUCAGGAAAUGUACUCUGUUUUUCUUGCUUUCGAGUAUUUUCUGGAUUCUGCUUGUACCAGGUUUUCCUCAAGAAGGGAGUGCAAGUGAUAUCACCGGAAAGAAAAACCAUACGGGAUUAUGGAAUAACGCAACUUCUCUGGUUAAAAAAUAUUAUGGCACAUUUGUAAACAGUAUGAAUACCGAUCUAUGGUUAUCUGUACUCAUCACAUUUUGUGUUAUAUUUGUUGCAUGUUCAGUUGUAUACACUUUUUCUUAUACCAUUUCUCAGUUUUUCUUGCAUCUCAGCAAAUGCUGCCAAAAAAAAUAAAAAUUAUAUAGCUUACAAA
RNAcentral lists this unclassified non-coding RNA (678 nucleotides) under Stegodyphus dumicola. Its description in RNAcentral is "uncharacterized LOC118191846, transcript variant X2". Lineage: Eukaryota; Metazoa; Arthropoda; Arachnida; Araneae; Eresidae. The record is from RNAcentral.